CUACCUAAAAGCGAUCGAGCACUUGAGCUCUAUGCGACUCGGAUUCAAGGACGUCGAAAUGUUUCUGUUCAGGCCGGAAGUGAAUGUGCUGCUGAACUUGGUCGGCUUGCAUUACUGCAUGCACUGGCUUGAAGUGCCAGCUGAGCAUGUCAUGGAAGCGCUUCAGAAUAGCAAGAUCUCACAACAUCAAGUGAGUGUCAAAUGGUGGAAGCUCGGCAAAUUAUUCUAUGGCUUCCGAAUGCGAGACGAGUCUCAUUCUCGUUCAGUUUCCCUGCAAGAUCUAGCAUUGCGUCAGGAAAAUGAGGUCCUCAGCGUGCUUCAUUGAGGUGCCAUUCAUGAGGUCCUUCGCGUCCAAAUUUCCGUAUUCCAUUCUACUAGCACUUCCUGGUCUUUCCCAGAGCGCGCAAGUCUGUGAUCAACGAUGAUUGAUAUAGACAUCUGGUUGUACCACAGAAUUAUGAUCAUGCUGGAAGUCAGUGGCUAUUAU
Eucalyptus grandis is the source of this 487-nucleotide long non-coding RNA. RefSeq lists it as uncharacterized. The transcript has 3 exons. NCBI's taxonomy places the organism in Eukaryota, Viridiplantae, Streptophyta, Magnoliopsida, Myrtales, Myrtaceae. The record is from RefSeq and is a predicted model, not a curated record.